This 433-nucleotide ribosomal RNA is filed under the name uncultured bacterium. Its description in RNAcentral is "partial 16S ribosomal RNA". It matches the Rfam family "Bacterial small subunit ribosomal RNA", at positions 29 to 507 of the family's 1533-position model. The record is from RNAcentral.
AACGAACGCUGGCGGCAUGCCUAACACAUGCAAGUCGAACGAGACCUUCGGGUCUAGUGGCGCACGGGUGCGUAACGCGUGGGAACCUGCCCUUAGGUUCGGAAUAACUCCCCGAAAGGGGUGCUAAUACCGGAUAAUGUCUUCGGACCAAAGAUUUAUCGCCUUUGGAUGGGCCCGCGUUGGAUUAGCUAGUUGUUAGGGUAAAAGCCUACCAAGGCUACGAUCCAUAGCUGGUCUGAGAGGAUGAUCAGCCACACUGGGACUGAGACACGGCCCAGACUCCUACGGGAGGCAGCAGUGGGGAAUAUUGGACAAUGGGCGAAAGCCUGAUCCAGCAAUGCCGCGUGAGUGAUGAAGGCCUUAGGGUUGUAAAGCUCUUUUACCCGGGAUGAUAAUGACAGUACCGGGAGAAUAAGCUCCGGCUAACUCCGUG